RNAcentral lists this ribosomal RNA (342 nucleotides) under uncultured soil bacterium. RNAcentral's name for it is "bacterial SSU rRNA". It matches the Rfam family "Bacterial small subunit ribosomal RNA", at positions 26 to 390 of the family's 1533-position model. The record is from RNAcentral.
AGAACGAACGCUGGCGGCAUGCCUAACACAUGCAAGUCGAACGAGACCUUCGGGUCUAGUGGCGCACGGGUGCGUAACGCGUGGGAAUCUGCCCUUGGGUUCGGAAUAACAGCGAGAAAUUGCUGCUAAUACCGGAUGAUGACGUAAGUACCAAAGAUUAUCGCCCAAGGAUGAGCCCGCGUAGGAUUAGCUUGUUGGUGAGGUAAGAGCUCACCAAGGCGACGAUCCUUAGCUGGUCUGAGAGGAUGAUCAAGCCACACUGGGACUGAGACACGGCCCAGACUCCUACGGGAGGCAGCAGUGGGGAAUAUUGGAACAAUGGGCGAAAAGACCUGAAUACCA